GAUGAAGAACGUAGCGAAAUGCGAUAAGUAAUGUGAAUUGCAGAAUUCAGUGAAUCAUCGAAUCUUUGAACGCACAUUGCGCCCUUCGGUAUUCCGGGGGCAUGCCUGUUCGAGCGUCAUUACACCACUCCAGCCUCGCUGGGCCUUGGGCGCCGCCGCGUGCCGGCGCGCCCCAAUGUCUCCGGCUGAGCCGUCCGUCUCUAAGCGUUGUGGCAACUCAAUCCGCUUGUGGGACCGGGGGGUUCGACGCCGUUAAACAUCACACAAGGUUGACCUCGGAUCAGGUAGGGAUACCCGCUGAACUUAAGCAUAUCAAUAAGCGGAGGA
This 327-nucleotide unclassified non-coding RNA is filed under the name soil metagenome. RNAcentral describes it as "partial contains 5.8S ribosomal RNA, internal transcribed spacer 2, and large subunit ribosomal RNA". The stretch from base 1 to 119 matches the Rfam family "5.8S ribosomal RNA", at positions 35 to 154 of the family's 154-position model. The record is from RNAcentral.